This 433-nucleotide ribosomal RNA is filed under the name uncultured bacterium. RNAcentral describes it as "partial 16S ribosomal RNA". It matches the Rfam family "Bacterial small subunit ribosomal RNA", at positions 29 to 507 of the family's 1533-position model. The record is from RNAcentral.
AACGAACGCUGGCGGCGUGCUUAACACAUGCAAGUCGAACGGGAAGUCCCGGUUUUGUUGGGCAGCUGUGCGUACCGACUGGUAAGCAACACGUGAGUUACGUACCCCUGCCUUUGAGGGGACCUAAGGACACUUAAGCUCAUCCCACAAAAGAUCUAUCGCCUUUGGGUGGGGCCGCGUUGGAUUAGCUAGUUGGGAGGGUAAAAGCCUAUCAAUGCGACGUUCCAUAGCUGGUCUGUGAGGAUGAUCUGCCACACUGGGACUGAGACACGGGCCAGACUCCUACGGGAGGCAGCAGUGGGGAAUAUUGGACAAUGGGCGAAAGCCUGAUCCAGCAAUGCCGCGUGAGUGAUGAAGGCCUUAGGGUUGUAAAGCUCUUUUACCCGGGAUGAUAAUGACAGUACCGGGAGAAUAAGCUCCGGCUAACUCCGUG